AUUGAACGCUGGCGGCAUGCCUUACACAUGCAAGUCGAACGGUAACGGGCCUUCGGGUGCCGACGAGUGGCGAACGGGUGAGUAAUGCAUCGGAACGUACCUUUCAGUGGGGGAUAACGUAGCGAAAGUUACGCUAAUACCGCAUAUUCUGUGAGCAGGGAAGCAGGGGAUCGCAAGACCUUGCGCUGAUUGAGCGGCCGAUGUCAGAUUAGUUAGUUGGUGAGGUAAAGGCUCACCAAGGCGACGAUCUGUAGCGGGUCUGAGAGGAUGAUCCGCCACACUGGAACUGAGCAACGGUCCAGGAUCCUACGGGAGGCAGAAGUGGGGAAUUUUGGACAAUGGGGGCAACCCUGAUCCAGCCAUGCCGCGUGAGUGAGGAAGGCCUUCGGGUUGUAAAGCUCUUUCGGUCGGGAAGAAAUCGCAUGGGUUAAUACCCUGUGCGGAUGACGGUACCGGCAUAAGAAGCACCGGCUAACUACGUGCCAGCCGCCGCAGUAA
This 498-nucleotide ribosomal RNA is filed under the name uncultured bacterium. RNAcentral describes it as "partial 16S ribosomal RNA". It matches the Rfam family "Bacterial small subunit ribosomal RNA", at positions 30 to 523 of the family's 1533-position model. The record is from RNAcentral.